GGCCGCAUGGCGAAAUGGCAUCGCGUCUGACUACGAUAUCCCGUAGUGAUCAGGAGAUUCUGGGUUCGACCCCCAGUGUGGUCA
This is a non-coding RNA of Thozetella sp. PMI_491, 84 nucleotides long. Lineage: Eukaryota; Fungi; Ascomycota; Sordariomycetes; Chaetosphaeriales; Chaetosphaeriaceae. The record is from the annotation of a GenBank genome assembly.